Acanthosepion pharaonis is the source of this 98-nucleotide non-coding RNA. The record is from the annotation of a GenBank genome assembly. NCBI's taxonomy places the organism in Eukaryota, Metazoa, Mollusca, Cephalopoda, Sepiida, Sepiidae.
GGCUAAAACACCAGUUUUCAUAUGAUCACAAAAGUUAAGCAACAUCGAGUGUGGUCAGUACCUAGAUGGGUGACCACUUGAGAAUACUAGGUUCUGUA